This 240-nucleotide ribosomal RNA is filed under the name Mycobacterium tuberculosis. RNAcentral describes it as "partial 16S ribosomal RNA". It matches the Rfam family "Bacterial small subunit ribosomal RNA", at positions 248 to 480 of the family's 1533-position model. Lineage: Bacteria; Bacillati; Actinomycetota; Actinomycetes; Mycobacteriales; Mycobacteriaceae. The record is from RNAcentral.
GUUGGUAAGGUAACGGCUUACCAAGGCGACGAUGCGUAGCCGACCUGAGAGGGUGAUCGGCCACACUGGAACUGAGACACGGUCCAGACUCCUACGGGAGGCAGCAGUAGGGAAUCUUCCGCAAUGGGCGAAAGCCUGACGGAGCAACGCCGCGUGAGUGAUGAAGGUCUUCGGAUCGUAAAACUCUGUUAUUAGGGAAGAACAAAUGUGUAAGUAACUAUGCACGUCUUGACGGUACCU